RNAcentral lists this telomerase RNA (405 nucleotides) under Anolis carolinensis (green anole). Its description in RNAcentral is "Vertebrate telomerase RNA". It matches the Rfam family "Vertebrate telomerase RNA". From Rfam's summary of the family: Telomerase is a ribonucleoprotein reverse transcriptase that synthesises telomeric DNA. Telomerase RNAs differ greatly in sequence and structure between vertebrates, ciliates and yeasts, but they share a 5' pseudoknot structure close to the template sequence. Vertebrate telomerase RNAs have a 3' H/ACA snoRNA-like domain. The record is from Rfam by way of RNAcentral. Lineage: Eukaryota; Metazoa; Chordata; Lepidosauria; Squamata; Anolidae.
CGAUCUCCGGCUGGGAGGCUCUCGCUAUUCUAACCCUAACUGGUCUUUCUUGACAUCUAUUACGCAUGCGCUGUUUUUCUCGUUGACUUUCAGCGAUUUGAACACUCAAAAAAGUCAACGGCGAGAGCCUCCUACCCGGGAGGCCCCGCGCCUCUUCUUCGCCUUCAUGGUUUCCCUCCAGUUGGGCCUCGCCGUCCCGUCUACGAGGCCGCGGCCAGGCUUUCCUGUCGCGAAGGGUUCGCCCCUGUCAGCCUUAGGGCGGAGGAGGCUCCGGCUGAGGAGCGAAGGCAGCUGAGGGGAACGGCAGAGAAGCGCCAGAGAAAAGCGGGCACGCCUUUCCCCCCGCAAGGGGGCGCUGCGCUCUUGAUCGGUAGGGCGUGCGGCGUAAGGCAGGUCCCGACAGGC